Long non-coding RNA from Aedes aegypti (yellow fever mosquito), 352 nucleotides. RefSeq lists it as uncharacterized. Lineage: Eukaryota; Metazoa; Arthropoda; Insecta; Diptera; Culicidae. The record is from RefSeq and is a predicted model, not a curated record. The transcript has 3 exons.
GUAGUAGUGCGCGUCGGAAAAUUGUUACUUAAUUUAGACUGUGGUAAAAGUAAAAUUUAAAACGAUACGCUAUAAUAACGAAAACACAAUUGUUGAAGAAACGAAGAUUACAUGUAUGGUUUUUGUUAAGCCCAAAACACACGUGUACAUAAAACAGAACAAAUAGUGUUAGUUUGCGGAGAAAAAGGUCCUGUAAGCGGGCCUUUUUCUCUUUUCUGCAUUGCUUGGCGGAGCAAGCGGUGGUUAUUUCAUCCACAGGACAAAAGCGGCCCCUCUUUCACUUCAAGCGCACCUAGCUUCAUCUCCCAAAACGCCAAGGACGGACAGACGCUGAAAAGGGUGCCCACGUUAC